AGUGGCGAAAGGGGCAGUUAUACAUGGGCAACCUACCCUCAGGUCCGGGAUAGUUUCGGGAAACCGUUAGUAAUACCGGGCGACGUGAUCUGAUCACCUGAUCGGAUCACCAAAGGUCCGCCGCCUGGGGAGGGGCUCAUGCGAUAUUAGCUUGUUGGUGAGGUAACGGCUCACCAAGGCGAAGAUGUCUAGCAGGUGUGAGAGCACGACCUGCGCCACUGGCACUGAGACACUGGCCAGACUCCUACGGGAGGCUGCAGCCGAGAAUCUUCGGCAAUGGACGCAAGUCUGACCGAGCGACGCCGCGUGCGCGAUGAAGGCCUUCGGGUUGUAAAGCGCUGUCAGGGGGGAACAAAACAAUGAGUGAUCCCCAGAGGAAGCACGGGCUAAGUUCGUGCCAGCAGCCGCGGUAAGACGAACCGUGCAAACGUUAAUCGGAAUCACUGGGCUUAAAGGGCGCGUAGGCGGGCUACCAAGUCGGGGGUGAAAGUUUGCAGCUUAACUGUAAAAGUGCCUUCGAUACUGGCAGUCUAGAGGGAGGUAGGGGCAGAUGGAACUUCCGGUGGAGCGGUGAAAUGUGUUGAUAUCGGAAGGAACGCCGGUGGCGAAAGCGAUCUGCUGGAUCUCUACUGACGCUGAGGCGCGAAAGCUAGGGUAGCGAACGGGAUUAGAUACCCCGGUAGUCCUAGCCCUAAACGAUGGGUACUGAGUAGU
RNAcentral lists this ribosomal RNA (714 nucleotides) under uncultured Planctomyces sp. Its description in RNAcentral is "bacterial SSU rRNA". It matches the Rfam family "Bacterial small subunit ribosomal RNA", at positions 94 to 824 of the family's 1533-position model. Lineage: Bacteria; Pseudomonadati; Planctomycetota; Planctomycetia; Planctomycetales; Planctomycetaceae. The record is from RNAcentral.